UACGAAAACCUUCUGUCAGCCAAAGCAUCAACUUAUCCUGAAAACAUCAGUGUCAGCGAAUCCCACGCAGAAGUUGAGCUGCAAAGCUUAUUGGAUCACACGGCAUUGCGCGUUGUCAAACUUCAAGAUGAUGUCCUUAAGUGCAAUGGUGAUGAUAGCGUGGCUGACUUGAUUUUAAUUGGCAAGUGGGUAUUCGACGGCAGUACUGGUCAUUCCAAGUAUAAGCAGAAAACUGUGAAAAAUAAAAUUGAUGAUUCGAGUUUGUUCGUGCCUUCCUAUGUUCCUUUACAAUUAAUUACUCGUGAAAAUGAUCCCAAGAAACGCAAAGUAAUUUUAAAAAUCCCCGUCCGGCAUCCACACGUUACUGCAGACCAAUAAGGGUUCAAUUCAAAAAAGAUUCAGCACAAUUGUCCAUAGACGAGGCAACAUACUUUCGAGACAAAAUUUCUGCGCUGAAGCCGUAUACAUGUAAAGUACUAUCCAAAAAUAUUAUAAUAACACAUCGUUUGCAGUUAACCAUGGUCGAUGGAAAAGUUUGUAGUGCUUUCAGUGAAACAUCCACUUGUAAAUGCUACAUAUGUGACGCAAAGCCAAGCAAAAUGAAUGAUUUGGAAAAAUGCUUAAACAAAAAAGUUUGUAGUGCUCUCAGUGAAACAUCCACUUGUAAAUGCUUCAUAUGUGACGCAAAGCCAAGCGAAAUGAAUGAUUUGGAAAAAUGCUUAAACAAAAAGAUUGCACGUGAAAACUUGGCGAAUUUGUACCAUAGACGAUAAAAAAGCUUUUAAGGAUAGGAAAGCACAAAUUCAAGCAGACUUCCGUGCUCAAAUGGGAUUACAUGUGGACAAACCGAGGAGUGGAGGUAGUGGAACCUCAAAUGACGGCAAUACAGCACGAACAUUUUUUAGCGAUACAAAAUUGUCUGCUCAUAAAAAAAAUCCUAAAAUUAUUUCCGAGAAGUAUAAAUGCAACUUUUCAAAUUGAACCAUUCAAUAAAAAGUUAUA
Molecule: long non-coding RNA, 1002 nt
Organism: Drosophila takahashii
Lineage: Eukaryota; Metazoa; Arthropoda; Insecta; Diptera; Drosophilidae
Source: RefSeq, a predicted model, not a curated record